UCCACAUGAAGAUACUUGAUCGAAGCAUCAAGACCACCAAUAUGCUAGCACCUUGUAGAUCUCGCUCCUCAGCUUUGGAUCUGAAUCUUCUUCUAAAAUUCAAAGAAGAUGAAUGUGGUGUGAACCCUUUCAUGCAGAUCUGAUAGGAUCUAAACCAGACCACCAAGAAAAGAAGAAGAACCUUUCCCCUUCUCUUUCUUUCUCUAUUUUCUCCCUU
This 217-nucleotide long non-coding RNA is filed under the name Elaeis guineensis (African oil palm). RNAcentral's name for it is "long non-coding RNA (EGUI_LNC057947)". Lineage: Eukaryota; Viridiplantae; Streptophyta; Magnoliopsida; Arecales; Arecaceae. The record is from RNAcentral.